CGAGCGAAUCUUGAGGAGCUUGCUCCUUAUGGUUAGCGGCGGACGGGUGAGUAACACGUGGGCAACCUGCCUGUAAGACUGGGAUAACACCGGGAAACCGGUGCUAAUACCGGAUAAUUCUUCACCUCACAUGAGGUGAAGCUGAAAGUCGGUUUCGGCUGACACUUACAGAUGGGCCCGCGGCGCAUUAGCUAGUUGGUGAGGUAACGGCUCACCAAGGCGACGAUGCGUAGCCGACCUGAGAGGGUGAUCGGCCACACUGGGACUGAGACACGGCCCAGACUCCUACGGGAGGCAGCAGUAGGGAAUCUUCCGCAAUGGACGAAAGUCUGACGGAGCAACGCCGCGUGAGUGAUGAAGGCCUUCGGGUCGUAAAACUCUGUUGUUAGGGAAGAACAAGUACCGGAGUAACUGCCGGUACCUUGACGGUACCUAACCAGAAAGCCACGGCUAACUACGUGCCAGCAGCCGCGGUAAUACGUAGGUGGCAAGCGUUGUCCGGAAUUAUUGGGCGUAAAGCGCGCGCAGGCGGUCCUUUAAGUCUGAUGUGAAAGCCCACGGCUCAACCGUGGAG
Molecule: ribosomal RNA, 574 nt
Filed under: uncultured Bacillus sp.
Lineage: Bacteria; Bacillati; Bacillota; Bacilli; Caryophanales; Bacillaceae
Description: bacterial SSU rRNA
Rfam family: Bacterial small subunit ribosomal RNA
Source: RNAcentral